This is a long non-coding RNA of Saccostrea echinata, 1542 nucleotides long. RefSeq lists it as uncharacterized. The record is from RefSeq and is a predicted model, not a curated record. The transcript is spliced from 9 exons. Lineage: Eukaryota; Metazoa; Mollusca; Bivalvia; Ostreida; Ostreidae.
GUUGUAUAUUUUCAGGGCCUCGGACGAUGGAGGACGGAGGAGGACCAAUGGCGCCCAACGGAAGAAGAAGAGUCCAUUGCUCAGUUAUGUCCAGUGCCCAAUAUUGAUGAAAGAGCAGAAGACGGUUUAGGCUGACCCGGAUGCCGUCUUGAGACGAAGUUUGUCUCCCAUUUAACUGCAGCCACCCCUGUAAGAUGCGGAUGCAGACCGACGGGGCCCGUCAGAAGAAGAGCGCUAGGAGCCGAUUCCGCAGCCAGGAAGCCUAAUAGAGAAGGAUUUUUGUUUCUUUUUUUUUCCUUUUUGUCUCUUUUCCGUCUUCUCCAAUUUCCUUCAAUCUCUAACAUAACUAACUUCCUCCCCCCCCCCCCUUCCCUUCCUCCCAUUUACCCUUUCCUGACCUAACUGUCUUCAUUUGCUAACUUAUUUUUCCUCUAAUUUUCAUGUAAUGAUUACGCGUACGCGAAUUUGUGUCUUUCUUCUUCAGUAUUCUGAAUUUUUUUACUAAUCUUCUGUCAGUUGUAUAUUUUCAGGGCCUCGGACGAUGGAGGACGGAGGAGGACCAAUGGCGCCCAACGGAAGAAGAAGAGUCCAUUGCUCAGUUAUGUCCAGUGCCCAAUAUUGAUGAAAGAGCAGAAGACGGUUUAGGCUGACCCGGAUGCCGUUUUGAGACGAAGUUUGUCUCCCAUUCAACUGCAGCCACCCCUGUAAGAUGCGGAUGCAGACCGACGGGGCCCGUCAGAAGAAGAGCGCUAGGAGCCGAUUCCGCAGCCAGGAAGCCUCAUAGAGAAGGAUUUUUGUUUCUUUUUUCCUUUUUGUCUAUUUUCCGUCUUCUCCAAUUUCCUUCAAUCUCUAACAUAACUAACUUCCCCCCCCCCUUCCCUUCCUCCCCUUUACCCUUUCCUGACCUAACUGUCUUCAUUUGCUAACUUAUUUUUCCUCUAAUUUUCAUGUAAUGAUUACGCGUACGCGAAUUUGUGUCUUUCUUCUUCAGUAUUCUGAUUUUUUACUAAUCUUCUGUCAGUUGUAUAUUUUCAGGGCCUCGGACGAUGGACGACGGAGGAGGACCAAUGCCGUCCAACGGAAGAUUGAAUGAUUGAUUGUAUGUUGAAGAAGAAAAGUCUAUUGUCCAGUUAUGCCCAGUACUCAAUAUUGAUGAAAGAGAUUUUCAGUGUUAUCAGUGGAAUGAUUAGGGAAGCAUCAUUACUACUGUUACGUACAACUCAAUUUUUUUUAGCAGGUGUCUUUGAAUUAGGGAUCAAUCACAGAUGCAUUGUAAGGCAGUUCUCUGUCUUCAGCUCUAGAGAGAGAGGACUUUCACUUGAAAAGCAAGAUUGCUGAGAGUUCAGGGAUGAACUGCGGCCAACCCACGGUCAGGAUUAGGAUACUUUCUAUCCCAAGACGAAGAUCGGUCUGUGGUCUGCUAGACCAAAAAAUGUUUAAUGAGUUCAUGAAUGGAUUGUGGGCAACCUAAUUAAGGCAGUAAAAGAGCAGACGGUCACCUUCCAGCAAAAGUUCAGCGAUGGGCUGCCGCCUAUAAAAGAC